This 982-nucleotide ribosomal RNA is filed under the name human oral metagenome. RNAcentral describes it as "bacterial LSU rRNA". It matches the Rfam family "Bacterial large subunit ribosomal RNA", at positions 1945 to 2925 of the family's 2925-position model. The record is from RNAcentral.
ACGGUCCUAAGGUAGCGAAAUUCCUUGUCGGGUAAGUUCCGACCUGCACGAAUGGCAUAAUGAUGGCCAGGCUGUCUCCACCCGAGACUCAGUGAAAUUGAAAUCGCCGUGAAGAUGCGGUGUACCCGCGGCUAGACGGAAAGACCCCGUGAACCUUUACUAUAGCUUGACACUGAACAUUGAAUUUUGAUGUGUAGGAUAGGUGGGAGACUUUGAAGUAGUCACGCCAGUGAUUAUGGAGUCGUCCUUGAAAUACCACCCUUUAACGUUUGAUGUUCUAACGAAGAUUACGAAACGUGGUCUCGGACAGUGUCUGGUGGGUAGUUUGACUGGGGCGGUCUCCUCCCAAAGAGUAACGGAGGAGCACGAAGGUUUGCUAAUCACGGUCGGACAUCGUGAGGUUAGUGCAAUGGUAUAAGCAAGCUUAACUGCGAGACAGACAAGUCGAGCAGGUACGAAAGUAGGUCAUAGUGAUCCGGUGGUUCUGAAUGGAAGGGCCAUCGCUCAACGGAUAAAAGGUACUCCGGGGAUAACAGGCUGAUACCGCCCAAGAGUUCAUAUCGACGGCGGUGUUUGGCACCUCGAUGUCGGCUCAUCACAUCCUGGGGCUGAAGUAGGUCCCAAGGGUAUGGCUGUUCGCCAUUUAAAGUGGUACGCGAGCUGGGUUUAGAACGUCGUGAGACAGUUCGGUCCCUAUCUGCCGUGGGCGUUGGAGAAUUGAUUGGGGCUGCUCCUAGUACGAGAGGACCGGAGUGGACGCACCACUGGUGUUCCGGUUGUGUCGCCAGACGCAUUGCCGGGUAGCUAAGUGCGGAAGAGAUAAGUGCUGAAAGCAUCUAAGCACGAAACUUGCCAAGAGAUGAGUUCUCCCAGAUUAUAAAUCUGUAAGGGUUGUUUAAGACUAAGACGUAGAUAGGUCUGGUGUGUAAGCGGUGCGAGCCGUUGAGCUAACAGAUACUAAUUGCCCGAGAGGCUUAACUAU